AACGAACGCUGGCGGCAUGCCUAACACAUGCAAGUCGAACGAGACCUUCGGGUCUAGUGGCGCACGGGGUCGUAACGCGUGGGAACCUUCCCUUAUGUUCGGAAUAACUCCCCGAAAGGGGUGCUAAUACCGGAUAAUGUCUUCUGACCAAAGAUUUAUCGCCUUUGGAUGGGCCCUCGUUGGAUUAGCUAGUUGUUAGGGUAAAAGCCUCCCAAGGCGACGAUCCAUAGCUGGUAUGAGAGGAUGAUCAGCCACACUGGGACUGAGACACGGCCCAGACUCCUACGGGAGGCAGCAGUGGGGAAUAUUGGAAAAUGGGCGAAAGCAUGAUCCAGCAAUGACGGGUGAGUGAUGAAGGCAUUAGGGUUGUAAAGCUCUUUUACCCGGGAUGAUAAUGACAGUACCGGGAGAAUAAGCUCCGGCUAACUCCGUG
Molecule: ribosomal RNA, 433 nt
Filed under: uncultured bacterium
Lineage: Bacteria
Description: partial 16S ribosomal RNA
Rfam family: Bacterial small subunit ribosomal RNA
Source: RNAcentral